GUUCCAGACUCCUACGGGAGGCAGCAGUGGGGGAUAUUGCACAAUGGGGGGAACCCUGAUGCAGCGACGCCGCGUGGGUGAAGGAGUGCUUCGGCAUGUAAAGCCCUAUCGGCAGGGAAGAAGCAAGACGGUACCUGACUAAGAAGCCCCAGCUAACUACGUGCCAGCAGCCGCGGUAAUACGUAGGGGGCGAGCGUUAUCCGGAAUUACUGGGUGUAAAGGGAGCGUAGGCGGGAUUGCAAGUUGGAUGUGAAAACUGCGGGCUCAACCCGGAGCGUGCAUUCAAAACUGCGAUUCUUGAGUGAAGUAGAGGCAAGCGGAAUUCCUAGUGUAGCGGUGAAAUGCGUAGAUAUUAGGAGGAACACCAGUGGCGAAGGCGGCUUGCUGGGCUUUUACUGACGCUGAGGCUCGAAAGUGUGGGGAGCAAACAGGAUUAGAUACCCCCGUAGAA
This 451-nucleotide ribosomal RNA is filed under the name uncultured bacterium. RNAcentral describes it as "bacterial SSU rRNA". It matches the Rfam family "Bacterial small subunit ribosomal RNA", at positions 328 to 795 of the family's 1533-position model. The record is from RNAcentral.